GACGAACGCUGGCGGCGUGCUUAACACAUGCAAGUCGAACGGACAGGCCUCUUUCGGGCGGUACUCGCGUGGCGAACGGGUGAGUAACACGUGAGUAACCUGCCCUUCUCUUUGGGAUAACUUCAGUCAACUGGGGCUAAUACCGGCUAGGAGCUCCUGCUGCCUGCAUGGGGUUGGAGAGAUUCGGCGGUUGGGUAUGGCCUCGCGGCGUAUCCGCUUGUUGGUGGGGUAGUGGCUUACCAAGGCCUUGCCGGGAAGCCGGCCUGAGGGGGUGACGGGCCACACUGGGACCGAGAGGCGGCCCAGACUCCGACGGGAGGCAGCUGUGCGGAAUAUUGCACAAUGGGUGGAAGGCUGAUGCAGAAGCGCUGUGGGCGGGAUGACGGCCUUAUGGUUGUAAACCGAAUGCGCUAAUGACGAAGCUUUGUGUGACGGUAGUGGGUAAAGAAGCACCGGCUAACUACGUG
This 467-nucleotide ribosomal RNA is filed under the name uncultured bacterium. RNAcentral's name for it is "partial 16S ribosomal RNA". It matches the Rfam family "Bacterial small subunit ribosomal RNA", at positions 28 to 507 of the family's 1533-position model. The record is from RNAcentral.